This 253-nucleotide ribosomal RNA is filed under the name uncultured bacterium. RNAcentral describes it as "partial 16S ribosomal RNA". It matches the Rfam family "Bacterial small subunit ribosomal RNA", at positions 524 to 776 of the family's 1533-position model. The record is from RNAcentral.
GACGGAGGGGGCUAGCGUUGUUCGGAAUUACUGGGCGUAAAGAGUGCGUAGGUGGUUUAGUAAGUUGGAAGUGAAAGCCCGGGGCUUAACCUCGGAAUAGCUUUCAAAACUACUAAUCUAGCGUGUAGUAGGGGAUGAUGGAAUUCCUAGUGUAGAGGUGAAAUUCUUAGAUAUUAGGAGGAACACCGGUGGCGAAGGCGGUCAUCUGGGCUACAACUGACACUGAUGCACGAAAGCGUGGGGAGCAAACAGG